Molecule: transfer RNA, 97 nt
Filed under: Gemmatales bacterium
Lineage: Bacteria; Pseudomonadati; Planctomycetota; Planctomycetia; Gemmatales
Description: tRNA-Cys
Rfam family: Selenocysteine transfer RNA
Source: RNAcentral
AGGCCGGUCGAGGGAGCCGGUGCUCCCCACGGGCUGCAAACCCGCCGAGAAUGCGGAUAAGACGCAUUCUGCUCGGUUCAACUCCGAGGCCGGCCUA